UCGCGCCUUCGCCAGCCCGCUACAGAAACUUAAAUGAAUUGACGGGGGCCCGCACAAGCGGUGGAGCAUGUGGUUUAAUUCGACGCAACGCGAAGAACCUUACCGGGCUUGACAUCUUUCUGACCGCCUGGGAAACCAGGUUUUCUUCCUUCGGGAAGACAGAAAGACAGGUGGUGCAUGGUUGUCGUCAGCUCGUGUCGUGAGAUGUUGGGUUAAGUCCCGCAACGAGCGCAACCCUUGUCCUUAGUUGCCAGCAUUCAGUUGGGCACUCUAAGGAGACUGCCGGUGUUAAACCGGAGGAAGGUGGGGAUGACGUCAAGUCCUCAUGGCCCUUAUGUCCAGGGCUACACACGUGCUACAAUGGCCGGUACAAAGGGCUGCAAGACCGUGAGGUUGAGCGAAUCCCAGAAAGCCGGUCUCAGUUCGGAUUGGAGUCUGCAACUCGACUCCAUGAAGUUGGAAUCGCUAGUAAUCGCGGAUCAGCAUGCCGCGGUGAAUACGUUCCCGGGCCUU
Molecule: ribosomal RNA, 513 nt
Filed under: uncultured Geobacter sp.
Lineage: Bacteria; Pseudomonadati; Thermodesulfobacteriota; Desulfuromonadia; Geobacterales; Geobacteraceae
Description: bacterial SSU rRNA
Rfam family: Bacterial small subunit ribosomal RNA
Source: RNAcentral